RNAcentral lists this transfer RNA (73 nucleotides) under Paenibacillus darwinianus. It matches the Rfam family "tRNA". Rfam says of the family: Transfer RNA (tRNA) molecules are approximately 80 nucleotides in length. Their secondary structure includes four short double-helical elements and three loops (D, anti-codon, and T loops). RNAcentral also lists the same sequence under 1 other name. Lineage: Bacteria; Bacillati; Bacillota; Bacilli; Caryophanales; Paenibacillaceae. The record is from Rfam by way of RNAcentral.
GGCCCCGUAGCUCAGUGGAUAGAGCAUCGGUUUCCUAAACCGUGUGUCGGACGUUCGAGUCGUCUCGGGGCCG